This 919-nucleotide long non-coding RNA is filed under the name Homo sapiens (human). RNAcentral's name for it is "long intergenic non-protein coding RNA 710". Lineage: Eukaryota; Metazoa; Chordata; Mammalia; Primates; Hominidae. The record is from RNAcentral.
AGUCAAUGACUCAGGGUAGCCACCGAACAUGAUGCUCGGGCAGUGGGUGCCACCUGGACUCCACUCUCCCCUCUCUCUGGGAUCAUAGAGUCCAAGGUGUUCUGUGGCCUCUCGGCCAAUCCCAGCAGCUCAGCGUGCAGAAGACCGAGGAGCCAUUGGUCAGUGUAGGAGGUGCCUGGAGUUUUGGAGAUGGGAUCCACAGGAAUUCAACACAACACGAAAUAAUCAACAAAUUCGGGGAAUGUUAAUCUGACCAUCACCAGUUACAAAUGAUGUUUCAUGCUACCUUCUAUUCCUGCCUUCAUAAAUCAAGCUCUAAAUCUCCAGGAAAAAAUGUGCUCAGGAUGGCCAGAGAAAUGUCCUUCCAACUGUGCAUGGAAAGGUAUGAUUUUGUGCAGCAGGUGAAGGACUGGUUAGAGUAAGUGUGUGCUGAGCUUUUGUGUUUGAAAGCGAGCCUGUGCACUUCUAACGAUUGGAAGGUUUCCUUGCCUUCUCCGAUCUUACACACAGCAAGGACAGCAAAGCCUUCCAGACCUGCCUGUGACAUGCACUGCACAUUCUAAAGAUGCCUAUGCAAUGGAAAACACCACUGUCUGCUCCAGCACAGCUGCCAUUCUUCCAUCUUAUCGACCUUAAUGCAACAACUCCUCACAGGCAGAGAUUUUAAAAUGUGUUCUUGGCAGAAGAGAGACUCAAAGAUGGGACAAAUGUGUCAUUUAAAUGCCUGUUAAAAUGGAAACAGACAUAGUAUAGUCAGAGGAUUGUGGCAGCUAAGAACAUAGUCUCUGGAGCAAAUCUGCAUGGGUGGCAAUGCCAAGCACAUGAGGUCCUAGUUGUAUGAACUUAGGUAAGUACAGAGGGUUCAUACUUCUCUAUACCUCAUCUCUAAAUGGAGUCAAUAAAAGAACUUACCUUAGAA